Molecule: ribosomal RNA, 492 nt
Filed under: uncultured bacterium
Lineage: Bacteria
Description: partial 16S ribosomal RNA
Rfam family: Bacterial small subunit ribosomal RNA
Source: RNAcentral
AGUGAACGCUGGCGGUAGGCCUAACACAUGCAAGUCGAACGGCAGCACAGUAAGAGCUUGCUCUUACGGGUGGCGAGUGGCGGACGGGUGAGGAAUACAUCGGAAUCUACUUUUUCGUGGGGGAUAACGUAGGGAAACUUACGCUAAUACCGCAUACGACCUACGGGUGAAAGCAGGGGAUCUUCGGACCUUGCGCGAUUGAAUGAGCAGAUGUCGGAUUAGCUAGUUGGCGGGGUAAAGGCCCACCAAGGCGACGAUCCGUAGCUGGUCUGAGAGGAUGAUCAGCCACACUGGAACUGAGACACGGUCCCGACUCCUACGGGAGGCAGCAGUGGGGAAUAUUGGACAAUGGGCGGAAGCCUGAUCCAGCCAUACCGCGUGGGUUAAGAAGGCCUUCGGGUUUUAAAGCCCUUUUGUUGGGAAAGAAAAGCAGUAGGUUAAUACCCCGCUGUUCUGACGGUACCCAAAGAAUAAGCACCGGCUAACUUCGUG